CCUACGGGUGGCAGCAGUCGAGAAUCAUUCACAAUGGGGGAAACCCUGAUGGUGCGACGCCGCGUGGGGGAAUGAAGGUCUUCGGAUUGUAAACCCCUGUCAUGUGGGAGCAAAUUAAAAAGAUAGUACCACAAGAGGAAGAGACGGCUAACUCUGGGCCAGCAGCCGCGGUAAUACAGCGGUCUCAAGCGUUGUUCGGAAUCACUGGUCGUUAAGCGUGCGGAGGCUGUUUCGUAAGUCGUGUGUGAAAGGUGCGGGGUCAACCCGCGGACGGCACAUGAUACUGGGAGACUGGAGUAGUAGAGAGGGAACCGGAAUGCUCGGUGUAGCAGUGAAAUGCGUAGAUAGCGAGCAGAACACUCAGGGCGAAGGCAGGUUCCUGGACAUUAACUGACGCUGAGGCACGAAGGCCAGGGGAGCGAAAGGGAUUAAAUACCCCUGUAGUC
This 446-nucleotide ribosomal RNA is filed under the name uncultured bacterium. Its description in RNAcentral is "partial 16S ribosomal RNA". It matches the Rfam family "Bacterial small subunit ribosomal RNA", at positions 338 to 795 of the family's 1533-position model. The record is from RNAcentral.